This is a long non-coding RNA of Neofelis nebulosa (Clouded leopard), 330 nucleotides long. RefSeq lists it as uncharacterized. Lineage: Eukaryota; Metazoa; Chordata; Mammalia; Carnivora; Felidae. The transcript has 3 exons. The record is from RefSeq and is a predicted model, not a curated record.
ACAAAGCACAAGUUUAAAACAUCACAGAGAAGGUGCCAGGAAAUAUAUAAAUAUUUCCAGAACUUCAAAGAGCUGAGCUGGCUGCGUUUUAUUUUGUUGGUGAUGAGGGUGGAAGUGGUGUUGAGUAGUACAUGGAAAACUCAGGGAAAAACAAAUAAGUAAAAUGGAGGGAAAAAGACUCCACAAAACUCCACCAUAAUCUAAUCACCCAGAAAUAAUCAUUGAUACCACCUUGGGUUUUUGUCACUUUCUUGAGGAAGCAGGUCCAUGGCUGCAGAAGAAGAGGGACACACACCUUCAUGGCCCGUCGCAGCUCCUGCACAUCAUACA